Molecule: long non-coding RNA, 108 nt
Organism: Neopelma chrysocephalum (saffron-crested tyrant-manakin)
Lineage: Eukaryota; Metazoa; Chordata; Aves; Passeriformes; Pipridae
Exons: 3
Source: RefSeq, a predicted model, not a curated record
CCCUUCCAAGCCAACCCAUUUUGUGAUUGACUGGGGACAAUCCAGAAGAGGUUCAGGUCUCUGUUUUGCAGUCACUUUCAACUAUCUUGGAAGAGACACACGUUUGAA